GGCGAACGCUGGCGGCGUGCUUAACACAUGCAAGUCGAACGGAAAGGCCCUGCUUUUGUGGGGUGCUCGAGUGGCGAACGGGUGAGUAACACGUGAGUAACCUGCCCUUGACUUUGGGAUAACUUCAGGAAACUGGGGCUAAUACCGGAUAGGAGCUCCUGCUGCAUGGUGGGGGUUGGAAAGUUUCGGCGGUUGGGGAUGGACUCGCGGCUUAUCAGCUUGUUGGUGGGGUAGUGGCUUACCAAGGCUUUGACGGGUAGCCGGCCUGAGAGGGUGACCGGCCACACUGGGACUGAGAUACGGCCCAGACUCCUACGGGAGGCAGCAGUGGGGAAUAUUGCACAAUGGGCGGAAGCCUGAUGCAGCAACGCCGCGUGCGGGAUGACGGCCUUCGGGUUGUAAACCGCUUUCGCCUGUGACGAAGCGUGAGUGACGGUAAUGGGUAAAGAAGCACCGGCUAACUACGUG
RNAcentral lists this ribosomal RNA (468 nucleotides) under uncultured bacterium. RNAcentral's name for it is "partial 16S ribosomal RNA". It matches the Rfam family "Bacterial small subunit ribosomal RNA", at positions 28 to 507 of the family's 1533-position model. The record is from RNAcentral.